UUGGGUGACGAGCGGCGGACGGGUGAGUAAUGUCUGGGAAACUGCCUGAUGGAGGGGGAUAACUACUGGAAACGGUAGCUAAUACCGCAUAACGUCGCAAGACCAAAGAGGGGGACCUUCGGGCCUCUUGCCAUCAGAUGUGCCCAGAUGGGAUUAGCUAGUAGGUGGGGUAACGGCUCACCUAGGCGACGAUCCCUAGCUGGUCUGAGAGGAUGACCAGCCACACUGGAACUGAGACACGGUCCAGACUCCUACGGGAGGCAGCAGUGGGGAAUAUUGCACAAUGGGCGCAAGCCUGAUGCAGCCAUGCCGCGUGUAUGAAGAAGGCCUUCGGGUUGUAAAGUACUUUCAGCGGGGAGGAAGGUGCUGAGGUUAAUAACCUCAGCAAUUGACGUUACCCGCAGAAGAAGCACCGGCUAACUCCGUGCCAGCAGCCGCGGUAAUACGGAGGGUGCAAGCGUUAAUCGGAAUUACUGGGCGUAAAGCGCACGCAGGCGGUCUGUCAAGUCGGAUGUGAAAUCCCCGGGCUCAACCUGGGAACUGCAUUCGAAACUGGCAGGCUAGAGUCUUGUAGAGGGGGGUAGAAUUCCAGGUGUAGCGGUGAAAUGCGUAGAGAUCUGGAGGAAUAC
RNAcentral lists this ribosomal RNA (629 nucleotides) under Enterobacter sp. EECC-9. RNAcentral describes it as "bacterial SSU rRNA". It matches the Rfam family "Bacterial small subunit ribosomal RNA", at positions 84 to 709 of the family's 1533-position model. The record is from RNAcentral. Lineage: Bacteria; Pseudomonadati; Pseudomonadota; Gammaproteobacteria; Enterobacterales; Enterobacteriaceae.